This 331-nucleotide unclassified non-coding RNA is filed under the name soil metagenome. RNAcentral's name for it is "partial contains 5.8S ribosomal RNA, internal transcribed spacer 2, and large subunit ribosomal RNA". The stretch from base 1 to 120 matches the Rfam family "5.8S ribosomal RNA", at positions 35 to 154 of the family's 154-position model. The record is from RNAcentral.
GAUGAAGAACGCAGCGAAAUGCGAUAAGUAAUGUGAAUUGCAGAAUUCAGUGAAUCAUCGAAUCUUUGAACGCACAUUGCGCCCCCUGGUAUUCCGGGGGGCAUGCCUGUUCGAGCGUCAUUUCACCACUCAAGCCUCGCUUGGUAUUGGGCAACGCGGUCCGCCGCGUGCCUCAAAUCGACCGGCUGGGUCUUCUGUCCCCUAAGCGUUGUGGAAACUAUUCGCUAAAGGGUGUUCGGGAGGCUACGCCGUAAAACAAACCCAUUUCUAAGGUUGACCUCGGAUCAGGUAGGGAUACCCGCUGAACUUAAGCAUAUCAAUAAGCGGAGGA